Molecule: long non-coding RNA, 590 nt
Organism: Diospyros lotus (date-plum)
Lineage: Eukaryota; Viridiplantae; Streptophyta; Magnoliopsida; Ericales; Ebenaceae
Exons: 4
Source: RefSeq, a predicted model, not a curated record
GUGAAGCACUCUAAGAGGAGGAGCUUGCUCUAGAGAGAGAGAAGGGAGUUCAGCAAGAAGGCGGGAAGAAAGCGGUGAAGAAGCGGCAGAGAACAAGCCUCGUCGGAGUUGCGGGUCUUCGCCAGAAUUUGCCAAAAUCAGUCAGUAAAAAAGCGAGAAACCUAGGCCGUUUGCUGUGAAAUUAUAUCGUCAAAGAGAUAAACCAACAAGGGUAAAAGUCGGAUAUCCCUCGAGAGGCGCUAUGCGUGCGCCAUCGAGAAAGCUCUCGUGAGGAAGACCGUGAGCCUAAAGAACAACGGAUGUGGUGCUUGCAUGAGUGCUAUGAGGUCGGGCCGAAGUGACAUGGUUAGGGACCUCCCGAGAGGCGCUAUGCGUGCGCCAUUGAGAAAGCUCUCGUUGGAAAAGGCUAACGUGUUCACGAGGCACUUCGGAGUAGUUCUCGUUUGACGAGCAGCUUUAAGGGAAAGGAGGUAGCUGAAGGAUAAGCUUACUUUACUGCCUGCAGCAUGUUUAGCAUAUCUAUGUUUAUGUGCAAACCUAUGUAAUUUUGGAUAUGUUUAAGAUGUUCGGUUAUCAUUUGAUGAUGUCCA